Molecule: non-coding RNA, 348 nt
Organism: Vicia faba (fava bean)
Lineage: Eukaryota; Viridiplantae; Streptophyta; Magnoliopsida; Fabales; Fabaceae
Source: the annotation of a GenBank genome assembly
UCUCAGUCUAUAUCUCCAGAUGACUACAAUGAUUCCAGGAGCAUACUUAGUCGAGCAUUAGAUGUUCGUGAGUAUUCCGGUCGGGUGAGGGGUAUGGGACAUGGGGUUACUCCAACAUCCUUGACAAAGAAAAAUCCAAAGACAAAAUCCCCUAGCAAUAAAGAACUGCAUGCAAAGUUGCAUGCAUUAGAAGAUGAAGUUCGUGAAUUGAGAAAGGAAAAAGAAAAAGAUCAAUCGGAAAGGGAAGCUUUAGGUUUUAAAGAUACUAGUGACAAAGCUAGUGUCAAUUGUAAUGUUCAACCGAAUACUCCCGAGGUAAUUAUAUAUAUCAUUAUGAAAUUAAAUUAG